AAGACACUAGUAAAAUAUAUUAUUAUACUGCCUUGUCGAGGCAGAGUUGUGGGUUUAAUUCCCGCGUGUCUUG
This 73-nucleotide transfer RNA is filed under the name Caristius groenlandicus (Greenland manefish). Its description in RNAcentral is "tRNA-Asp". It matches the Rfam family "tRNA". Rfam says of the family: Transfer RNA (tRNA) molecules are approximately 80 nucleotides in length. Their secondary structure includes four short double-helical elements and three loops (D, anti-codon, and T loops). The record is from RNAcentral. Lineage: Eukaryota; Metazoa; Chordata; Actinopteri; Scombriformes; Caristiidae.